This 458-nucleotide ribosomal RNA is filed under the name uncultured bacterium. RNAcentral describes it as "partial 16S ribosomal RNA". It matches the Rfam family "Bacterial small subunit ribosomal RNA", at positions 339 to 795 of the family's 1533-position model. The record is from RNAcentral.
CUACGGGGGGCUGCAGUCACGAAUCAUCGGCAAUGCGCGCAAGCGUGACCGUGCGACGCCGCGUGGGCGAUGAAGGCCUUCGGGUUGUAAAGCCCUGUCAGGGGUGAGGAAAGGUGCGGGUCCACUCGCACUUGACGUUAGCCCCAAAGGAAGUCACGGCUAACUCCGUGCCAGCAGCCGCGGUAAGACGGAGGUGGCAAACGUUGCUCGGAAUCACUGGGCUUAAAGGGCGUGUAGGCGGCUUCUUAAGUCGGAUGUGAAAGACCUCGGCUCAACCGAGGAACUGCACUCGAUACUGAGAGGCUAGAGUGCGAGAGGGGCAAGUGGAACUCCAGGUGUAGCGGUGAAAUGCGUAGAUAUCUGGAGGAACGCCGGUGGCGAAAGCGACUUGCUGGCUCGCAACUGACGCUGAGGCGCGAAAGCCAGGGGAGCGAACGGGAUUAGAUACCCCAGUAGUC